This 252-nucleotide ribosomal RNA is filed under the name Phascolarctobacterium succinatutens YIT 12067. RNAcentral's name for it is "partial 16S ribosomal RNA". It matches the Rfam family "Bacterial small subunit ribosomal RNA", at positions 524 to 776 of the family's 1533-position model. RNAcentral also lists the same sequence under 1 other name. Lineage: Bacteria; Bacillati; Bacillota; Negativicutes; Acidaminococcales; Acidaminococcaceae. The record is from RNAcentral.
UACGUAGGUGGCGAGCGUUGUCCGGAAUUAUUGGGCGUAAAGAGCAUGUAGGCGGUUUUUUAAGUCCGGAGUGAAAAUGCGGGGCUCAACCCCGUAUGGCUCUGGAUACUGGAAGACUUGAGUGCAGGAGAGGAAAGGGGAAUUCCCAGUGUAGCGGUGAAAUGCGUAGAUAUUGGGAGGAACACCAGUGGCGAAGGCGCCUUUCUGGACUGUGUCUGACGCUGAGAUGCGAAAGCCAGGGUAGCGAACGGG